CCUACAGAUUCAUCACACAUCAGAACUCUGAAUGGAUGCACAUGCAGUUAGUCUGUUGCAAAGACGCUACUAAUUAGGAAUGUCAGCACUGGUGUUGCGGUUCCCAUAUUUGUGAUGGAUGAUCAGUAAUACAACUCCCAGAAAGAAGCAGAUGGAGCCAACAGUGAUGUAAGCGAUCCCAAGGAAUGGAUUCUUUCCUCCCAUCCAAGAAAUGGUGCUCAAGAUCAUUCUUUUUCGCCCAUCAAAGCUGCGCACUGGAUAAUCUGAACACAGUAUAGGAAGACUAUGGAUAUUUGCAGCCCAGCACCAAAGCUACCAAUAAUCAGCAUCAUACCGAAGAGCAUUAUUUUCAAUGUCCUCUGCAACAACACAUUUUGAAGAUUCCAAGAGGUUUUGAUCUGCAGAGGAAAAACUGUCUUCCUGUUUGAAAUAUUUCUGCAGUCGCAUGUCUCUGCAAAAGCUUAUUUUUUGGAAAAUAAACUACAAUGGGAUGAUGUUAAACCUAUUGCACCUGCUGAGAACGGAGCAGAACUGGCCUCAAAAUAGGGUCAAUUGUCGACCGAGGGUCAUACAGACUCGAAACGUUAACUCUCUCUCCACAGAUGCUGUCAGACCUGCUAAGUUUUACCAGCAUUUUGUUUUUAUUUCAGAUUUCCAGCAUUCGAAGUAUUUUGCUUUUAUUAAUUGCCGAACAUGUGGCUAGUGCUAUCUUGAAAGGGAAUUGCAUUUGAGCAUCCAAAGUCCCUGGUUCAAGCUGCAAUUUUAGACUGGAACUGGUCUCAGUGUGCAUCAGGCAAGCUCUGAUCAUUCCCUUGGGGUGAUAGUUUUACAGUGCCUCUCUAGCUGCAAAUCUGAAAUUAUUUUGAAGCAUUCUUCUGGGCCCCACAAAAAAAGUGGGUAGCUGCUGCCCUAGAACCCCGCACUUCCUCCCACUCCCAUUCAUACCACCAAAGCAGCUAAGAAAAAUACAGAAUUUUCUUGUUAUACUAUUCGGAAACCAAAGUUCAUAGCUCUCCAUGAAUAUUUCACAUUUUUGAUGACAGUCCUAGAAUGUUUAUCAAAAAAUUAAAAAAAAGUGAUUUCAGUGCGGAUUUCACCUGUAGCAGCAAAAUUCAAAGUUUACAAUUUUUAACCAAAACACUCAAAUACAGUUCAGCAAUAACUCCCAGAAUGUAUCCACAAAGACAACAUAGCAUACAUUGUUUAGUUUACAAAACAAGUGUUGGGGCUUUGCAGAACAUUGUAUUUAUUCAUAUUCAAAAGUAACAUCUUGCAUUUAUAAGGCAUCUUAGUAUAGUAGAACAUUCCAAGGCGCUUCACAGGAUUGCUAACAAUCAAAACUCAACAUCAAGUCACAUAGGAGAUGUGAGGAAUCUUGGUCAAAGUAGGUUUACUGUGAUGCUUUAAGGAGAGAUAGGGAGAAAUAACGGAAGAAAUUCCAGAGUCGGUGCCCAUAUAGCUGAAGACACAGCUACCAAUGGUGGAUUGAUGAAAAUCUAGGAUUUGGAAGAGGUCAAAAUGAAAAUUUUACAACUAAACAACAAUAGGUUCCCUAAAGAACUUUUUGGGAAAGCACUUGGCCACAAUACUGCAGUGUGUUGAGUGGCAAUCGAACAGCACUUUCUACUCUGCCCCAUGCAGGAUAUCCAAAUUUAAAUUGCUGUUGCGCAGCAAGAAAUCCACACUACCCAUCAGAAACCAAAUUAGUGAACAUCUGUUUGCCAGCUCAAAAGUGGUAUUAAUAGAGGGUGAGUGGAAAAGAUAUGCAACCUUUGUCCUUGUCACAAAAUAACAGGAGAAAAUUCAUGAAAUUAGAGAAAAUGACAUGCAAACUUAACAUUUUUUUCUUUCCACAAUUCAGAUGUGCAGAAAGGAUCUCUUUUGAUAAUCAGUACUGUAACUCACAAAAUUGAUCAGUUGUUGAUUUUAUGGUUGAGAUUAAGUCACAGUACCAGUUUGUUGGAUAACACUGGGACAAAGACCUAUUUGCAAGUACAAGAUGCAAUAAAAAUACAACAAAUUUAAA
Carcharodon carcharias (great white shark) is the source of this 2026-nucleotide long non-coding RNA. RefSeq lists it as uncharacterized. NCBI's taxonomy places the organism in Eukaryota, Metazoa, Chordata, Chondrichthyes, Lamniformes, Lamnidae. The record is from RefSeq and is a predicted model, not a curated record. The transcript has 2 exons.